CAGCCGCCGCGGUAAUACGAAGGGUGCAAGCGUUACUCGGAAUUACUGGGCGUAAAGCGUGCGUAGGUGGUGGUUUAAGUCCGUUGUGAAAGCCCUGGGCUCAACCUGGGAAUUGCAGUGGAUACUGGGUCACUAGAGUGUGGUAGAGGAUAGUGGAAUUUCCGGUGUAGCAGUGAAAUGCGUAGAGAUCGGAAGGAACAUCUGUGGCGAAGGCGACUAUCUGGGCCAACACUGACGCUCAGGCACGAAAGCGUGGGGAGCAAACAGGAUUAGAUACCCGAGUAGUCCCUGUCUCUUAUAC
This 301-nucleotide ribosomal RNA is filed under the name uncultured bacterium. RNAcentral describes it as "partial 16S ribosomal RNA". It matches the Rfam family "Bacterial small subunit ribosomal RNA", at positions 509 to 807 of the family's 1533-position model. The record is from RNAcentral.